GUGAGCAGCUGAGGCUGUCAGGAUGACUUGCCCCUGUGYCUCUGUGGUGGCAUGAGGAACGGAGCCUGGAACACCUGAGUCAUGAACUGCCCAGUCCCGUCACAGCCAUCCUCCAUUUUGGUCUCAGUGUAAUUAAGUAAUGCAGAUUAUGCUACCUCUGUCUUUGAAGGCUCAUUGCAAAAAAAAAAAAAAAAACUCUGGAACAAGGUCCGACAAGCACAGGACUUGGAUCACAUCAUUGCGGCUCAUGAGGUUUUUCUGGACACAAUCAUCGCUYGGUGCUUGCUGGAUAGUGACUCCAGGGUAAGUUGUUACCUUUGCGUUAAGCUGUAGCUUUUGUGAUCUUGGCUCAUGGGUUAGCAGUUCUCCUCUGUUAUGUUACAGGAACACUGGGAAAAGUCAUUUUUCCCCCUCUGAUAUAAGACUUGUGGUAGGCUUUGUACCUAGUCCCUGCACACACACGUGGGUGCUGAUUAUAAAACUUGCUGCAAUGAUGU
This 497-nucleotide long non-coding RNA is filed under the name Apteryx haastii (Great spotted kiwi). RNAcentral's name for it is "lncRNA (ENSAHAG00000013599.1)". The record is from RNAcentral. Lineage: Eukaryota; Metazoa; Chordata; Aves; Apterygiformes; Apterygidae.